GGCUGGGCCGGCUUGCGUCAGACUCCGCCUCCCGAGACCACGCCUCGCCGAGUCCCGGAUGUGCUCCAGGAAGGGAUAGGGCAUCUUUCACCCUGAAGUCACGGGAACAACGCUGAGGGGCAGCCAGAGAUUAUGUGGGCUUUUCCAUGGGAAGAACCACUCUACGUUAUCACCUUCUACAUAGUAGCAGUUGAAGCCAAAUGGACAGAAAGCCCGAGACAACAUGAAGUUGUUCUACAAGUUAUUUUGGAGAAAUUGACUUACC
This 265-nucleotide long non-coding RNA is filed under the name Homo sapiens (human). RNAcentral's name for it is "HSALNT0391198". The record is from RNAcentral. Lineage: Eukaryota; Metazoa; Chordata; Mammalia; Primates; Hominidae.